RNAcentral lists this long non-coding RNA (209 nucleotides) under Cucumis sativus (cucumber). RNAcentral describes it as "long non-coding RNA (CSAT_LNC002939)". Lineage: Eukaryota; Viridiplantae; Streptophyta; Magnoliopsida; Cucurbitales; Cucurbitaceae. The record is from RNAcentral.
GCUUUUUCAUUAGCUUUUAUCCAUCGAUCAUAUGCAUCCCGACUAGUUCGGUUAUCAUUAGAGGCAGGGUUUUGAGGACAUUCCUCAGUUAAGACAAAUCUUAAAUCGUCAACCACUAGUAUUGUGUUAAGAUUUGAUUUCCAAGCCGCAUAAUUAUCGCCAUUAAGUUUUUCGGAAGCUAAAAGUUGAACUAUUGAGCUAUUCAUGCU